This 730-nucleotide ribosomal RNA is filed under the name Aegilops tauschii subsp. strangulata. RNAcentral describes it as "rRNA SSU_rRNA_eukarya". It matches the Rfam family "Bacterial small subunit ribosomal RNA", at positions 934 to 1288 of the family's 1533-position model. Lineage: Eukaryota; Viridiplantae; Streptophyta; Magnoliopsida; Poales; Poaceae. The record is from RNAcentral.
GGAGCAUGUGGUUUAAUUUGAUACAACGCGCAAAACCUUACCAGCCCAUGACGUAUGAACAACAAAACCUGUCCUUAACAGGAUGGUACUGACUUUCAUAUAGGUGAUGCGUGGCUGUCGUCAGCUCGUGUCGUGAGAUGUUUGGUCAAGUCCUAUAACGAGUGAAACCCUCGUGUGUGUUGCUGAGACAUGCGCCUAAGGAGAAAUUGCCACCGAGUGACGUGCCAGCGCUACUACUUGAUUGAGUGCCAGCACGUAGCUGUGCUUUCAGCAAGAAUUUCACCAUUGGGAGCAGUGCCUUUCGAAGCACUUUCACGUGUGAACCAAAGUCGUCUUGCCCAAGACCCACGGAGACCUACCUAUAGUGACGUCAAAGUACUAGUGAGCAUGGAGGUUUGGUUGAAAUUGGUUACGAUGACGUCGAGUAGGCGGCGGAGGAAGACUCGGCAUGAAGGCCAGAAAAUGGUGUGGAACGUAGUGGUAAUAGUACGUGCCCCACUCCGAAACAAAGAAAAAGGUGCGUGCCGCACUCACGAGGGACUGCCAGUGAGAUACUGGAGGAAGGUGGGGAUGACGUCAAGUCCGCAUGGCCCUUAUGGGCUGGGCCACACACGUGCUACAAUGGCAAUGACAAUGGGAAGCAAGUGUAACACCCCGGAUGUAACUUUCCAUAUGUAACUCCAACUCUUGCCAUUUUCGGCUAUGUGUUAUGGUAUUCCCUUCGUGGUCG